RNAcentral lists this long non-coding RNA (830 nucleotides) under Homo sapiens (human). Its description in RNAcentral is "HSALNT0021979". The record is from RNAcentral. Lineage: Eukaryota; Metazoa; Chordata; Mammalia; Primates; Hominidae.
CCCAUAUAUUCAAAAUAGUAUUAUUUAGACAUGUAAUCAAUAUAAAAAUCAUUAAUAAGACAUUUUACAUUUUACACUCUUUUUUUGUACUAAGUCUUCAAAAUCUGGUGUAUAUUUUACACAUCUGGCAUAUCUCAAUUCACAUUAGCCAUGUUUUGAUUGCUCAAUGGCCACAUGUGGCUAGUGGCUAAUAUAAUGGACAAUGAAGUCCUGGACCCUUCACUUACAAGCUGAGUGGUCUUGGACAAGUAAUUUAAGCAUUCUGAGUCUGCUCACUUCCCUUUAAAAUGGAGUUAUAUUCUUUUAAAAACCUACAUCCUAGGAUUAAAUAUGAGAUUAAAUAAAUCAAAAGAGAACAGUGUCUGGUAGAUGCUCAGAAUACUGUAGUUAUCAAUACUGCAUUAUCAUGUUAGGGAGUGGGUCAUUCAACUAGCCACUGUUCUCUUUUACUUUGAAUUUUCAUUGGUGGACUUCAGUAAAGCUUAAAAUGAACUUUUUCCCUAUAAUAACUUCUGUCAGUCCCGUAACCAAAAGGUUAACAUAUAGAGUUAUAGAAUAUUCUCAGGAAUUACUGAUGUCCUGAUCAAUUUAUGAGAUAAGGGUCUGGAGGUUUUAUACAUUUAGUAUCAAGAUGGAGAAAUAUGAGCCCAGGUUAUAGUCUGGAGGUUAAAAGUUCAUUACAAGAUUGCCAAGAAACCAAAAACAGAACAGGCUUGGAAAUAUUGUUAAGCCUGCCUGCCAUUUACUCUGCCAAUUACAGAAGAAACACUAAGCAAAGUACCUUUUCACUGGUACCAGUGAAACUGACAGGCAAGUAGCUGAUCCCAAAC